This 1262-nucleotide ribosomal RNA is filed under the name Photobacterium sanguinicancri. RNAcentral's name for it is "bacterial LSU rRNA". It matches the Rfam family "Bacterial large subunit ribosomal RNA", at positions 401 to 1666 of the family's 2925-position model. The record is from RNAcentral. Lineage: Bacteria; Pseudomonadati; Pseudomonadota; Gammaproteobacteria; Vibrionales; Vibrionaceae.
AGUGAAAACGAGUAGGACGGGACACGUGAUAUCCUGUUUGAACAUGGGGGGACCAUCCUCCAAGGCUAAAUACUCCUGACUGACCGAUAGUGAACCAGUACCGUGAGGGAAAGGCGAAAAGAACCCCUGUGAGGGGAGUGAAAUAGAACCUGAAACCGUGUACGUACAAGCAGUAGGAGCCCACUUGUUGGGUGACUGCGUACCUUUUGUAUAAUGGGUCAGCGACUUAAUUUUAGUAGCAAGGUUAACCGUUUAGGGGAGCCGUAGGGAAACCGAGUCUUAACUGGGCGUCAUAGUUGCUAGGAUUAGACCCGAAACCAGGUGAUCUAGCCAUGGGCAGGUUGAAGGUGAGGUAACACUUACUGGAGGACCGAACCGACUAAUGUUGAAAAAUUAGCGGAUGACUUGUGGCUAGGGGUGAAAGGCCAAUCAAACCUGGAGAUAGCUGGUUCUCCCCGAAAGCUAUUUAGGUAGCGCCUCGGACGAAUACUACUGGGGGUAGAGCACUGUUAAGGCUAGGGGGUCAUCCCGACUUACCAACCCUUUGCAAACUCCGAAUACCAGUAAGUACUAUCCGGGAGACACACGGCGGGUGCUAACGUCCGUCGUGGAGAGGGAAACAACCCAGACCGCCAGCUAAGGUCCCAAAGUUAUAGCUAAGUGGGAAACGAUGUGGGAAGGCUCAGACAGCCAGGAUGUUGGCUUAGAAGCAGCCAUCAUUUAAAGAAAGCGUAAUAGCUCACUGGUCGAGUCGGCCUGCGCGGAAGAUUUAACGGGGCUAAGCUAUACACCGAAGCUGCGGCAAUAUGACUUGUCAUAUUGGGUAGGGGAGCGUUCUGUAAGCCGUUGAAGGUGAUCUGUAAGGGCUGCUGGAGGUAUCAGAAGUGCGAAUGCUGACAUGAGUAACGAUAAAGGGAGUGAAAAACUCCCUCGCCGGAAGAUCAAGGGUUCCUGUCCAACGUUAAUCGGGGCAGGGUAAGUCGACCCCUAAGGCGAGGCCGAAAGGCGUAGUCGAUGGGAAACGGGUUAAUAUUCCCGUACUGCUUAUAACUGCGAUGGGGGGACGGAGAAGGCUAGGUGGGCUUGGCGACGGUCGUCCAAGUUCAAGGGUGUAGGCUGAUAGUUUAGGCAAAUCCGGACUAUCUUAAGGCUGAGACCCGAUGUCGAGUCACUACGGUGAUGAAGUCAUUGAUGCCAUGCUUCCGGGAAAAGCCUCUAAGCGAUAGGUUAUAAGCAAUCGUACCCCAAACCGACACAGGUGA